This is a long non-coding RNA of Gavialis gangeticus (Gharial), 558 nucleotides long. RefSeq lists it as uncharacterized. The record is from RefSeq and is a predicted model, not a curated record. The transcript is spliced from 2 exons. NCBI's taxonomy places the organism in Eukaryota, Metazoa, Chordata, Crocodylia, Gavialidae.
AGGAAGAACAAAUAUUUGGGGGUGCACCUUCCCAGCAGAGUUCAGCUUGCAGCACUGCUGUGAAGCAUCUGAUAGAUAAAAGUGUCUUCUGUGUACUGACAUGUAAAGCAGCACAUCAAACAUCCCACUUUGAAUCAGAAUUCCUACAGAGGUAUCAUUUGAAUUUUACACAGAGAUAUAAUCAAAGUCCACUUUGCUGCUUGGAGGGAAGAGGGGAAAAGAGCAUAGGGACAGAUCUUAUUCCAUCUAUGAAGCAUUUAAGUGGAUUUAAAUGUCUGAAAGUGAUUCUAGUCUACCCUGUUUAAGUUACCAUAAAUCUAUUAAUGCCUGUAACAUAUGAUGGUAUGUUAUCUUACACUUAAGAGUGAGUCACAAAAAAGCAGAGGAGGAGCAAGACUCACCUACCUUCUGUAUUAUCAAGUUUCAAGGAUGCAAGCAUGAUGGAUUGAUAUCACACCUAUGUGUUUAUGUCCAUUUAUGUGCCUAGGGCACGGGGUAGAAUCUUACUCUUACUGUGUUCACUUGAUAAUCUUAUAAAGUACUUAGAUAUGAUGGUGA